GGUGUUAUGGCUCAAGUGGUACAGCGCUAGCCUUGAACGAAAAAGCUAAGGGACAGCACCCAGGACUUGAGUUCAAGCCCCAAUACCACCA
This 91-nucleotide transfer RNA is filed under the name Dipodomys ordii (Ord's kangaroo rat). It matches the Rfam family "tRNA". Rfam says of the family: Transfer RNA (tRNA) molecules are approximately 80 nucleotides in length. The record is from Rfam by way of RNAcentral. Lineage: Eukaryota; Metazoa; Chordata; Mammalia; Rodentia; Heteromyidae.